Molecule: long non-coding RNA, 483 nt
Filed under: Helianthus annuus (common sunflower)
Lineage: Eukaryota; Viridiplantae; Streptophyta; Magnoliopsida; Asterales; Asteraceae
Description: hypothetical non coding rna
Source: RNAcentral
GAGAGAGAGAGAGAGAGAGAGAGAGAGAGAGAGAGAGAUUCAAGUUAAUGUGUAUAUGCAUGCACUCAUAGAAAAGUGCUGCUCGAUCUGGUAUUCUGAAUCAUGGCAGCUGCAAAUUCAUCAACCCUUAAAACAUUAAAACACUGGUCACUGGUGAGAUGUUCAAAGCAAAUCCGGGAACAAAAGGCGCGAAUCUAUAUCAUAUGGAGGUGCACCAUGUUUCUUAUUUGCUCACAUGAUGAUCAUUAACAAUUGAAUAGCUCAGCUAGGAAUUAAGAUGUAAGUUGUAGAUGUUAACCAUCUUUCUCUAUAAGUUCUCCCUAGUUGCCACAAAAUCAAUACGUUCAAUGGUUGACUGCGAAUCAGCAAAAGCAUGAUCAGUUAAGAUUGCCUGUCCCGCCUCUUCUGCAAUAACUACAUUCUUACUGCCCUCCAAUUUGAAAGAAGCAACUAAGAUGGACACUAAUCCACCUAGUGCGCUUC